Molecule: long non-coding RNA, 467 nt
Filed under: Prunus persica (peach)
Lineage: Eukaryota; Viridiplantae; Streptophyta; Magnoliopsida; Rosales; Rosaceae
Description: long non-coding RNA (PPER_LNC002835)
Source: RNAcentral
GACAAACAAGUUGUGGGUCUGUAGGGUUCUUGGUUGGAUGCUACGCAUCCUUGGAAGGGGACAUGGUAUGUGUGGCGUGGUAACUUCAACAUUGUACCAUGUCUUCUUUGUCUCCCUUUCUAGUCUAAAAAGUUCGAAUAAGAAAAAUGACAAGAAUCUAUAAUGUUUGUGCAUGCAUGUAUUCAUAAGCGGCUAGAAAAUGUGGAGUAUGGAGUGGUUUUGUGCCCAUAUAUUGUUUUCCUCUUUGAUGAGAGUCGUUCUACUUUCUUCCUUCCACACAUCACGAACCACGUUGUGAACCAUAUCUUUGUUAUCAGUGAGAUGCAUAUCGGGUGUCUAUAAAGUAUCCUUCGGCCUCGUUUGGUGGUUUGACUUGGACUAGAUUGGAGUUGAGUUCAAACAAGUCCUUAUAAGUUCCACUCAUCUAGAUUAUUGAUCGUUUUAAUAAGUUCAGCCCAGUAUAUCAA